RNAcentral lists this ribosomal RNA (291 nucleotides) under uncultured bacterium. RNAcentral's name for it is "partial 16S ribosomal RNA". It matches the Rfam family "Bacterial small subunit ribosomal RNA", at positions 505 to 796 of the family's 1533-position model. The record is from RNAcentral.
GUGCCAGCCGCCGCGGUAAUACGGAGGGUGCAAGCGUUGUUCGGAAUCACUGGGCGUAAAGGGCGCGCAGGCGGCUUGGCAAGUCAGAUGUGAAAGCCCACGGCUUAACCGUGGAAGUGCAUUUGAAACUGCCUGGUUUGAGUAUCAGAGGGGAAAGUGGAAUUCCCGGUGUAGAGGUGAAAUUCGUAGAUAUCGGGAGGAAUACCGGUGGCGAAGGCGACUUUCUGGCUGAAUACUGACGCUGAGGCGCGAAAGCGUGGGGAGCAAACAGGAUUAGAUACCCGUGUGUCC